Molecule: transfer RNA, 74 nt
Filed under: Blastocatellia bacterium
Lineage: Bacteria; Pseudomonadati; Acidobacteriota; Blastocatellia
Description: tRNA-Ile
Rfam family: tRNA
About the family: Transfer RNA (tRNA) molecules are approximately 80 nucleotides in length. Their secondary structure includes four short double-helical elements and three loops (D, anti-codon, and T loops). Further hydrogen bonds mediate the characteristic L-shaped molecular structure. tRNAs have two regions of fundamental functional importance: the anti-codon, which is responsible for specific mRNA codon recognition, and the 3' end, to which the tRNAs corresponding amino acid is attached (by aminoacyl-tRNA synthetases). tRNAs cope with the degeneracy of the genetic code in two manners: having more than one tRNA (with a specific anti-codon) for a particular amino acid; and 'wobble' base-pairing, i.e. permitting non-standard base-pairing at the 3rd anti-codon position.
Source: RNAcentral
UGCGAAGUAGCUCAAUGGCAGAGCAGAGGAUCGAUAAUCCUCAGACAAAGGUUCGAUUCCUUUCGUCGCAACCA